GUGGGCUCCUUUGGAGGCUGUUGUAUCCCUUCUGAAUGUGGUGUUGGCAUAAAAGGCAGACUCGUAUCAUGAGGAAUGAUUGUCAUCUUGUAUGAUUCUUGGAGAUGGCAGGAAGCCCCUGGAAACACAUGAUGUGGACUCUGUCAUAGGCUGUUGAAACCCUCCCGAAGGUAGCAUUGGCAUGGAGGGCAGGCCCAUAUUGGCGAGGGACAAUUGUUACCUCGUGUGAGCCAUGGAGACACCAGGAAGCCCCUGGACACAAAUGGCAAAGGCUCCUUUGGAAGUUGUUGGAUCCCUUCUGAAUGUGAGGCCAGAGACAGGCAGACAGCAGGGAGCUGGAUGACAUGGCCUUUGGAACCUGUGCGCAUGCCUGCCUUUCUGAUGCACGUCCAUGUUUUCUCUGCACCUCCCUGGUGGUGUUGGUAUAAAAAG
This 432-nucleotide long non-coding RNA is filed under the name Pongo abelii (Sumatran orangutan). RNAcentral describes it as "lncRNA (ENSPPYG00000040340.1)". The record is from RNAcentral. Lineage: Eukaryota; Metazoa; Chordata; Mammalia; Primates; Hominidae.